Molecule: transfer RNA, 93 nt
Filed under: Allobacillus salarius
Lineage: Bacteria; Bacillati; Bacillota; Bacilli; Caryophanales; Bacillaceae
Also listed under: 2 other names
Description: Allobacillus sp. SKP4-8 tRNA-Ser
Rfam family: tRNA
About the family: Transfer RNA (tRNA) molecules are approximately 80 nucleotides in length. Their secondary structure includes four short double-helical elements and three loops (D, anti-codon, and T loops). Further hydrogen bonds mediate the characteristic L-shaped molecular structure. tRNAs have two regions of fundamental functional importance: the anti-codon, which is responsible for specific mRNA codon recognition, and the 3' end, to which the tRNAs corresponding amino acid is attached (by aminoacyl-tRNA synthetases). tRNAs cope with the degeneracy of the genetic code in two manners: having more than one tRNA (with a specific anti-codon) for a particular amino acid; and 'wobble' base-pairing, i.e. permitting non-standard base-pairing at the 3rd anti-codon position.
Source: RNAcentral
GGAGAGCUGUCCGAGUUGGCCGAAGGAGCACGAUUGGAAAUCGUGUAGACCGUUACCACGGUCUCGAGGGUUCGAAUCCCUCGCUCUCCGCCA